Molecule: ribosomal RNA, 387 nt
Filed under: uncultured bacterium
Lineage: Bacteria
Description: bacterial SSU rRNA
Rfam family: Bacterial small subunit ribosomal RNA
Source: RNAcentral
GACGAACGCUGGCGGCGUGCUUAACACAUGCAAGUCGAGCGGUAAGGCCCUUUCGGGGGUACACGAGCGGCGAACGGGUGAGUAACACGUGGGUGACCUGCCCUCAGCUCUGGGAUAAGCCUGGGAAACCGGGUCUAAUACCGGAUAUGACUCCAUGACGCAUGUUGUGGGGUGGAAAGCCUUGUGCGGCUGAGGAUGGGCCCGCGGCCUAUCAGCUUGUUGGUGGGGUGAUGGCCUACCAAGGCGACGACGGGUAGCCGGCCUGAGAGGGCGACCGGCCACACUGGGACUGAGACACGGCCCAGACUCCUACGGGAGGCAGCAGUGGGGAAUCUUGCGCAAUGGGCGAAAGCCUGACGCAGCGACGCCGCGUGGGGAGUGACGGCC